RNAcentral lists this ribosomal RNA (396 nucleotides) under uncultured bacterium. Its description in RNAcentral is "partial 16S ribosomal RNA". It matches the Rfam family "Bacterial small subunit ribosomal RNA", at positions 523 to 918 of the family's 1533-position model. The record is from RNAcentral.
AUACGUAGGUGGCAAGCGUUGUCCGGAAUUAUUGGGCGUAAAGCGCAUGUAGGCGGUGCCUUAAGUCUGUCGUGAAACUGCGGGGCCUAACCCCGUAUGGCGAUGGAAACUGUGGCACUUGAGUGCAGGAGAGGAAAGGGGAACUCCCAGUGUAGCGGUGAAAUGCGUAGAUAUUGGGAAGAACACCGGUGGCGAAGGCGCCUUUCUGGACUGUGUCUGACGCUGAGAGGCGAAAGCCAGGGUAGCGAACGGGAUUAGAUACCCCGGUAGUCCUGGCCGUAAACGAUGGGUACUAGGUGUGGGAGGUAUCGACCCCUUCCGUGCCGGAGUUAACGCAAUAAGUACCCCGCCUGGGGAGUACGGCCGCAAGGCUUAAACUCAAAUGAAUUGACGGGG